CCUACGGGCGGCAGCAGUGGGGGAUAUUGCACAAUGGGGGAAACCCUGAUGCAGCGACGCCGCGUGGGUGAAGAAGUAUUUCGGUAUGUAAAGCCCUAUCAGCAGGGAAGAAAGAAGACGGUACCUGACUAAGAAGCCCCGGCUAACUACGUGCCAGCAGCCGCGGUAAUACGUAGGGGGCGAGCGUUAUCCGGAUUCACUGGGUGUAAAGGGAGCGUAGACGGCCGUGCAAGCCAGGAGUGAAAGCCCGGGGCCCAACCCCGGGACUGCUCUUGGAACUGUGCGGCUGGAGUGCGGGAGGGGCAGGCGGAAUUCCUGGUGUAGCGGUGAAAUGCGGAGAUAUCAGGAGGAACACCGGCGGCGAAGGCGGCCUGCUGGACCGCGACUGACGUUGAGGCUCGAAAGCGUGGGGAGCGAACAGGAUUAGAUACCCCAGUAGUC
Molecule: ribosomal RNA, 441 nt
Filed under: uncultured bacterium
Lineage: Bacteria
Description: partial 16S ribosomal RNA
Rfam family: Bacterial small subunit ribosomal RNA
Source: RNAcentral